Molecule: ribosomal RNA, 643 nt
Filed under: uncultured bacterium
Lineage: Bacteria
Description: bacterial SSU rRNA
Rfam family: Bacterial small subunit ribosomal RNA (bases 1-537)
Source: RNAcentral
CCUACGGGAGGCAGCAGUAAGGAAUAUUGGUCAAUGGACGAAAGUCUGAACCAGCCAUGCCGCGUGAAGGAUUAAGGCCCUCUGGGUUGUAAACUUCUUUUAUCUGGGACGAAAAAAGGGUAUUCUUACUCACUUGACGGUACCAGAGGAAUAAGCACCGGCUAACUCCGUGCCAGCAGCCGCGGUAAUACGGAGGGUGCAAGCGUUAUCCGGAUUUACUGGGUUUAAAGGGUGCGUAGGUGGGCUUGUAAGUCAGUGGUGAAAUCUCCGGGCUUAACCCGGAAACUGCCAUUGAUACUAUAGGUCUUGAAUUAUCUGGAGGUAAGCGGAAUAUGUCAUGUAGCGGUGAAAUGCUUAGAUAUGACAUAGAACACCAAUUGCGAAGGCAGCUUACUACGGAUAUAUUGACACUGAGGCACGAAAGCGUGGGGAUCAAACAGGAUUAGAUACCCUGGUAGUCCACGCCCUAAACGAUGGAUACUCGACAUACAGACGAUACACUGUUGGUUGUCUGAGCGAAGACAUAAGUAUACCACCGUACGGAAGGUAACGAGUCGCGAAGAGUUAGUUAAACGUUACUAAAUUAGUUAAGUUAGUUACGGCGUUGAGACGUUGCCGACGGACGACGACGAGGGAGGAGGAG